RNAcentral lists this ribosomal RNA (496 nucleotides) under uncultured bacterium. Its description in RNAcentral is "partial 16S ribosomal RNA". It matches the Rfam family "Bacterial small subunit ribosomal RNA", at positions 28 to 506 of the family's 1533-position model. The record is from RNAcentral.
GACGAACGCUGGCGGCGUGCCUAAUACAUGCAAGUUGAGCGCUGAAGGUUGGUCCUUGUACCAACUGGAUGAGCAGCGAACGGGUGAGUAACGCGUGGGGAAUCUGCCUUUGAGCGGGGGGCAACAUUUGGAAACGAAUGCUAAUACCGCAUAAAAACUUUAAACACAAGUUUUAAGUUUGAAAGAUGCAAUUGCAUCACUCAAAGAUGAUCCCGCGUUGUAUUAGCUAGUUGGUGAGGUAAAGGCUCACCAAGGCGAUGAUACAUAGCCGACCUGAGAGGGUGAUCGGCCACAUUGGGACUGAGACACGGCCCAAACUCCUACGGGAGGCAGCAGUAGGGAAUCUUCGGCAAUGGACGAAAGUCUGACCGAGCAACGCCGCGUGAGUGAAGAAGGUUUUCGGAUCGUAAAACUCUGUUGGUAGAGAAGAACGUUGGUGAGAGUGGAAAGCUCAUCAAGUGACGGUAACUACCCAGAAAGGGACGGCUAACUACGU